RNAcentral lists this ribosomal RNA (253 nucleotides) under uncultured bacterium. Its description in RNAcentral is "partial 16S ribosomal RNA". It matches the Rfam family "Bacterial small subunit ribosomal RNA", at positions 524 to 776 of the family's 1533-position model. The record is from RNAcentral.
UACGGGGGGGGCAAGCGUUGUUCGGAAUUACUGGGCGUAAAGGGUCUGUAGGUGGCUUGUUAAGUCAGACGUGAAAUCCCUCAGCUUAACUGGGGAACUGCGUCUGAUACUGGCGAGCUUGAGUGCAGGAGAGGAACGCGGAAUUCCUGGUGUAGCGGUGAAAUGCGCAGAUAUCAGGAAGAACACCCGUGGCGAAGGCGGCUCUCUGGGACGGUACUGACGCUGAGACGCGAAAGCGUGGGGAGCGAACAGG